CCUACGGGGGGCUGCAGUGGGGAAUAUUGGACAAUGGGGGGAACCCUGAUCCAGCCAUGCCGCGUGUGUGAAGAAGGCCCUCGGGUUGUAAAGCACUUUCAGUGAGGAAGAACGCCUGGUGGUUAAUACCCAUCAGGAAAGACAUCACUCACAGAAGAAGCACCGGCUAACUCCGUGCCAGCAGCCGCGGUAAUACGGAGGGUGCGAGCGUUAAUCGGAAUUACUGGGCGUAAAGCGCGCGUAGGUGGCUUGAUAAGCCGGUUGUGAAAGCCCCGGGCUCAACCUGGCAACGGCAUCCGGAACUGUCAAGCUAGAGUGCAGGAGAGGAAGGUAGAAUUCCCGGUGUAGCGGUGAAAUGCGUAGAGAUCGGGAGGAAUACCAGUGGCGAAGGCGGCCUUCUGGACUGAAACUGACACUGAGGUGCGAAAGCGUGGGUAGCAAACAGGAUUAGAUACCCUAGUAGUC
Molecule: ribosomal RNA, 465 nt
Filed under: Vreelandella stevensii
Lineage: Bacteria; Pseudomonadati; Pseudomonadota; Gammaproteobacteria; Oceanospirillales; Halomonadaceae
Description: partial 16S ribosomal RNA
Rfam family: Bacterial small subunit ribosomal RNA
Source: RNAcentral